This 484-nucleotide ribosomal RNA is filed under the name uncultured bacterium. Its description in RNAcentral is "partial 16S ribosomal RNA". It matches the Rfam family "Bacterial small subunit ribosomal RNA", at positions 28 to 523 of the family's 1533-position model. The record is from RNAcentral.
GACGAACGCUGGCGGCGUGCUUAACACAUGCAAGUCGAACGAUGAAGCUGGAGCUUGCUCUAGCGGAUUAGUGGCGAACGGGUGAGUAACACGUGACCAAUCUGCCCUUGACUCUGGGAUAACUGCGGGAAACUGUAGCUAAUACCGGAUACUUUCACCGGGGGGCAUCCUCUGGUGAUGAAAGAAUUUCGGUCAAGGAUGAGCUCGUGGCCUAUCAGCUUGUUGGUGAGGUAACGGCUCACCUAGGCGACGACGGGUAACCGGCCUGAGAGGGUGACAGGUGACAAGGGGACUGAGAGACGGGCCAGAUUCAUACGGGGGGGAGAGGUGGGGAAUAUUGCACGAUGGGCGCAAGCCUGAUGCAGCAACGCCGCGUGAGGGAAGAAGGCCUUCGGGUUGUAAACCUCUUUUAGCAGGAAAGAAGCGAAAGUGACGGUACCUGCAGAAAAAGCACCGGCUAACUACGUGCCAGCAGCCGCCGUAA